CACAAGCGGCGGAGCAUGUGGAUUAAUUCGAUGCAACGCGAAGAACCUUACCUGGGCUUGACAUACACCGGAUCGGGCUAGAGAUAGUCUUUCCCUUUGUGGCUGGUGUACAGGUGGUGCAUGGUUGUCGUCAGCUCGUGUCGUGAGAUGUUGGGUUAAGUCCCGCAACGAGCGCAACCCUUGUCUUAUGUUGCCAGCAUUUGGUUGGGGACUCAUGAGAGACUGCCGGGGUCAACUCGGAGGAAGGUGGGGAUGACGUCAAAUCAUCAUGCCCCUUAUGUCCAGGGCUUCACACAUGCUACAAUGGUCGGUACAACGCGCAGCGACACUGUGAGGUGGAGCGAAUCGCUGAAAGCCGGCCUUAGUUCGGAUUGGGGUCUGCAACUCGACCCCAUGAAGUCGGAGUCGCUAGUAAUCGCAGAUCAGCAAUGCUGCGGUGAAUA
RNAcentral lists this ribosomal RNA (443 nucleotides) under Corynebacterium tuberculostearicum. RNAcentral describes it as "bacterial SSU rRNA". It matches the Rfam family "Bacterial small subunit ribosomal RNA", at positions 924 to 1368 of the family's 1533-position model. Lineage: Bacteria; Bacillati; Actinomycetota; Actinomycetes; Mycobacteriales; Corynebacteriaceae. The record is from RNAcentral.